AGCUUUGUGCAGGGGCAGUAUCGUAGCCAAUGAGGUUUAUCUGAGGCGCGAUUAUUGCUAAUUGAAAACUUUUCCCAGAAAAGAAGUUAUAAAAAAAAAAAAGAAGAAAAUCUUUUGGUUUUCACUCUCGUUCACCGACUGAUGGAA
RNAcentral lists this small nuclear RNA (147 nucleotides) under Catagonus wagneri (Chacoan peccary). RNAcentral describes it as "U4 spliceosomal RNA (ENSCWAG00000000765.1)". The stretch from base 1 to 82 matches the Rfam family "U4 spliceosomal RNA". From Rfam's summary of the family: U4 small nuclear RNA (U4 snRNA) is a component of the major U2-dependent spliceosome. The structure of U4 snRNA from yeast and human has been reported. The record is from RNAcentral. Lineage: Eukaryota; Metazoa; Chordata; Mammalia; Artiodactyla; Tayassuidae.